UCGGGAAUUUUGGGCAAUGGGCGAAAGCCUGACCCAGCAACGCCGCGUGAAGGAUGAAGUAUUUCGGUAUGUAAACUUCGAAAGAAUAGGAGGAAUAAAUGACGGUACUAUUUAUAAGGUCCGGCUAACUACGUGCCAGCAGCCGCGGUAAUACGUAGGGACCAAGCGUUGUUCGGAUUUACUGGGCGUAAAGGGCGCGUAGGCGGCAAUUCAAGUCAUCUGUGAAAUCUCCGGGCUUAACUCGGAACGGUCAGAUGAUACUGCUUUGCUAGAGUGCAGAAGGGGCAAUCGGAAUUCUUGGUGUAGCGGUGAAAUGCGUAGAUAUCAAGAGGAACACCUGAGGUGAAGACGGGUUGCUGGGCUGACACUGACGCUGAGGCACGAAAGCUAGGGUAGCGAACGGGAUUAGAUACCCGUGUAGUCCCUGAGCGGGCUGGCAAGGCGCAU
Molecule: ribosomal RNA, 447 nt
Filed under: uncultured bacterium
Lineage: Bacteria
Description: bacterial SSU rRNA
Rfam family: Bacterial small subunit ribosomal RNA
Source: RNAcentral